UACAGAGGUCUCAAGCGUUGUUCGGAUUCACUGGGCGUAAAGGGUGCGUAGGUGGUUGGGUAAGUCUGAUGUGAAAUCUCCGGGCUCAACCCGGAAAUGGCAUUGGAUACUGUUCGGCUAGAGGUUUGGAGGGGGGACUGGAAUUCUCGGUGUAGCAGUGAAAUGCGUAGAUAUCGAGAGGAACACCAGUGGCGAAGGCGAGUCCCUGGACAACACCUGACACUGAGGCACGAAAGCGAGGGGAGCAAACAGG
This 253-nucleotide ribosomal RNA is filed under the name uncultured bacterium. Its description in RNAcentral is "partial 16S ribosomal RNA". It matches the Rfam family "Bacterial small subunit ribosomal RNA", at positions 524 to 776 of the family's 1533-position model. The record is from RNAcentral.